GAUUAUUUAGUUUAUAUAAAACGAAUGUUUUGAAAACAUUAAAAAAGUAAAAGAACUUAUUAAUCG
RNAcentral lists this transfer RNA (66 nucleotides) under Trapezia bidentata. Its description in RNAcentral is "tRNA-Ser". The record is from RNAcentral. Lineage: Eukaryota; Metazoa; Arthropoda; Malacostraca; Decapoda; Trapeziidae.